RNAcentral lists this ribosomal RNA (645 nucleotides) under bacterium W13C32_B. Its description in RNAcentral is "bacterial SSU rRNA". It matches the Rfam family "Bacterial small subunit ribosomal RNA", at positions 56 to 748 of the family's 1533-position model. The record is from RNAcentral.
UGCAGUCGAACGGAUCCUUCGGGAUUAGUGGCAGACGGGUGAGUAACGCGUGGGAAGCUACCUUGUGGUAGGGGACAACAGUUUGAAAAGACUGCUAAUACCCUAUGAGCCCUAUGGGGGAAAGAUUUAUCGCCAUGAGAUGUGCCCGCGUUAGAUUAGCUAGUUGGUAAGGUAAUGGCUUACCAAGGCGACGAUCUAUAGCUGGUCUGAGAGGAUGAUCAGCCACACUGGGACUGAGACACGGCCCAGACUCCUACGGGAGGCAGCAGUGGGGAAUAUUGGACAAUGGGGGCAACCCUGAUCCAGCCAUGCCGCGUGUGUGAUGACGGCCUUAGGGUUGUAAAGCACUUUCAGCAGUGAAGAUAAUGACAUUAACUGCAGAAGAAGCCCCGGCUAACUUCGUGCCAGCAGCCGCGGUAAUACGAAGGGGGCUAGCGUUGUUCGGAAUCACUGGGCGUAAAGAGUACGUAGGCGGACUGAUAAGUUAGGGGUGAAAUCCCAAGGCUCAACCUUGGAACUGCCUUUGAUACUGUCAGUCUUGAGAUCGAGAGAGGUGAGUGGAACUCCGAGUGUAGAGGUGAAAUUCGUAGAUAUUCGGAAGAACACCAGUGGCGAAGGCGGCUCACUGGCUCGAUACUGACGCUG